AUGAAGCAUUAGAGAGGUUGUCGCUGCCUUGAAAGAGGAUGUGCACGCCUUUCAAAUCUUCUUCAACCACCUGUGCACUCUUCUUAGACUGUGAUACCUUUCACUGAAAAUGUGGAUAGAGGAUUUGCGAAUUUUCGCUUAUCUUCAAUUUCGCAGUCUAUGUUUAUACACACUAUGAAAUAUUAGAAUGUUGUUUUACUUGCUGUAAUGGCUUGUAAUAAUUAAAUA
Molecule: unclassified non-coding RNA, 228 nt
Filed under: uncultured fungus
Lineage: Eukaryota; Fungi
Also listed under: 1 other name
Description: sequence contains ITS1, 5.8S rRNA gene
Source: RNAcentral